AGGGAAUAGAUACCCUGGUAGUCCAUGCUGUAAACGAUGGAUGCUAGCUGUGAUGCGUAUCGACCCGCGUCGUAGCGAAGCUAACGCGUUAAGCAUCCCGCCUGUGGAGUACGGCCGCAAGGCUAAAACAUAAAGGAAUUGACGGGGACCCGCACAAGCGGUGGAGCGUGUUGUUUAAUUCGAUGGUAAGCGAAGAACCUUACCCAGGUUUGACAUCCUUGGAAGUUCUGCGAAAGCAGAGUGUGCCUUCGGGAACCAAGUGACAGGUGAUGCAUGGCCGUCUUCAGCUCGUGUCGUGAGACGUUAGGUUAAGUCCUUCAACGAGCGCAACCCUUAUAGUUAGUUGUAUUUUCUAGCUAGACUGCCCUGGUAACAGGGAGGAAGGAGGGGACGAUGUCAGGUCAGUAUCUCCCUUAUAUCUGGGGCUACAAACACGCUACAAUGGCCGGUACAAAGGGAAGCC
This 463-nucleotide ribosomal RNA is filed under the name uncultured bacterium. Its description in RNAcentral is "bacterial SSU rRNA". It matches the Rfam family "Bacterial small subunit ribosomal RNA", at positions 773 to 1251 of the family's 1533-position model. The record is from RNAcentral.